RNAcentral lists this ribosomal RNA (237 nucleotides) under uncultured bacterium. RNAcentral describes it as "partial 16S ribosomal RNA". It matches the Rfam family "Bacterial small subunit ribosomal RNA", at positions 100 to 334 of the family's 1533-position model. The record is from RNAcentral.
CCGGCACGGGUGAGUAACGCGUAUCCAACCUGCCUUACACUCUUGGACAGCCUUCUGAAAGGGAGAUUAAUACAAGAUGUUAUCAUGAGUAAGCAUUUUCGCAUGAUUAGAGGUUUACCGGUGUAAGAUGGGGAUGCGUUCCAUUAGAUAGUAGGCGGGGUAACGGCCCACCUAGUCUUCGAUGGAUAGGGGUUCUGAGAGGAAGGUCCCCCACAUUGGAACUGAGACACGGUCCAA